Molecule: ribosomal RNA, 253 nt
Filed under: uncultured bacterium
Lineage: Bacteria
Description: partial 16S ribosomal RNA
Rfam family: Bacterial small subunit ribosomal RNA
Source: RNAcentral
UACGUAGGGUGCGAGCGUUAAUCGGAAUUACUGGGCGUAAAGCGUGCGCAGGCGGUUUUAUAAGCCAGAUGUGAAAUCCCCGGGCUUAACCUGGGAAUGGCAUUUGGGACUAUAAGGCUAGAAUCUGGCAGAGGGGGGUAGAAUUCCACGUGUAGCAGUGAAAUGCGUAGAUAUGUGGAGGAACACCAAUGGCGAAGGCAGCCCCCUGGGAUGACACUGACGCUCAUGCACGAAAGCGUGGGUAGCAAACAGG